GCCGGUGUUGCUCAGUGGAUAGAGCAUCAGCCUGCGGACUGAAGGGUCCCGGGUUCAAUUCUGGGCAAGGGCA
This 73-nucleotide transfer RNA is filed under the name Myotis davidii. It matches the Rfam family "tRNA". From Rfam's summary of the family: Transfer RNA (tRNA) molecules are approximately 80 nucleotides in length. Their secondary structure includes four short double-helical elements and three loops (D, anti-codon, and T loops). Lineage: Eukaryota; Metazoa; Chordata; Mammalia; Chiroptera; Vespertilionidae. The record is from Rfam by way of RNAcentral.